This 301-nucleotide ribosomal RNA is filed under the name uncultured bacterium. RNAcentral describes it as "partial 16S ribosomal RNA". It matches the Rfam family "Bacterial small subunit ribosomal RNA", at positions 509 to 808 of the family's 1533-position model. The record is from RNAcentral.
CAGCAGCCACGGUAAUACGAAGGGGGCUAGCGUUGCUCGGAAUUACUGGGCGUAAAGGGCGCGUAGGCGGAUGUUUAAGUCAGAGGUGAAAGCCCAGGGCUCAACCUUGGAAAUGCCUUUGAUACUGAACAUCUUGAGUAUGGGAGAGGUGAGUGGAACUCCGAGUGUAGAGGUGAAAUUCGUAGAUAUUCGGAAGAACACCAUUGGCGAAGGCGACUCACUGGCCCAUUACUGACGCUGAGGCGCGAAAGCGUGGGGAGCAAACAGGAUUAGAUACCCAGUAGUCCCUGUCUCUUAUACA